UGAGGUUUCAACUGAAAAAGGGC
RNAcentral lists this small RNA (23 nucleotides) under Arabidopsis thaliana (thale cress). Lineage: Eukaryota; Viridiplantae; Streptophyta; Magnoliopsida; Brassicales; Brassicaceae. The record is from RNAcentral.